AAUUUUGGUUUUUCACCUGCACUUUUUCUUCUGUUCAUCCGCGUCUUUCCCUUCUUCCUCUGUACCAUCACUUUCUGCUUCUUUUGACUUUUAGUUUUAGCCUACCAUCUUUCUGCUUCAUUCCUGUUUCUUUCCUGUCUAUUUCUUUUUCCUCUCAUCAGACGAAAGGAAGAAGCUGCAGUUCAACUGCUUUAGCAGAUAGUGUCUUCUCCUUUAUUCAAUGUCAAAUAAACUCUUUUUUUUUUUGUAAUUUCUUGCUCAGAAUUUGCUUACCCACAGGAUAAUUCUACUUGGAAGGAGGAAAAUGGGGAACUUUUGGUUAGAUUAGGUUGUACUUCUUGGCCAAAAAAUCAGCAAAUUUUUCCCCAAAUUAUGCGUAGCCUUCAGAUUCAUCUUAUAGAUAAUUCUUUCAGGAUGGCAUUUUGGGGAAUAUUAUCCCCCAACUACAGCCGACUUUGUGGCCAUGGGGAUGCUUUUCUUCUUUGCUUGGCUUGUAUAGAUAAAUUUGAGUCUUGGUUUUGAUUGUCAAAAUUCAUUUUUUUUCCUAUUUUAUUAGUUUCAGUGUUGUUGAAUGUGUUCUUCUAAACUUUUAAUACAAAUUUAGCCCCAUUUUAAAUAUGAUUACGACAUGUUUUGAUCCUUUCGAUAUUACUCUAAUGACUAAAAUAAGUUCUUGAAUAAUAUUUUUCAUUCUCUAAACAUUCAAUGCAUUGCUUUUUAGUUUUUUUUUCUCUUCUUAUUUUAUGACUGACAACAUGGAAAAUUUUCAGGAAAGUAUUGGAGGAUUUGGGUUUUUUUGAAUUUCCCUUCUCCAAAAUUCUGUUCCUUCUACUUGAAGUUGGCUUGAAGAUGGCUAGCUGCCAUGGAAGCAAUCAUUCUACUGAAAGCCAUUUUUACAUUUUCUCCUCUGUUGUACAAAUGUUCCUUUUCUUUCAUGUAAAAAAUAAUAUUUUAAGCAGAAGGUGAAUAAAUGUAAUCCCCAAAAAUUGGUAUCUUCAUUGUAAAGGUGUAUGAAUUUUAUACUUUUUAAAUGGAAAGGAUAUUAUGUAAUUUCAU
Coffea arabica (coffee) is the source of this 1056-nucleotide long non-coding RNA. RefSeq lists it as uncharacterized. The record is from RefSeq and is a predicted model, not a curated record. NCBI's taxonomy places the organism in Eukaryota, Viridiplantae, Streptophyta, Magnoliopsida, Gentianales, Rubiaceae.